AAUGUAGCUCAGUGGUAGAGCACUUGGCUAACAUUUAUGAGGUUCUGGGUUCAAUCCCCAGUAUU
This 65-nucleotide transfer RNA is filed under the name Heterocephalus glaber (naked mole-rat). It matches the Rfam family "tRNA". From Rfam's summary of the family: Transfer RNA (tRNA) molecules are approximately 80 nucleotides in length. Their secondary structure includes four short double-helical elements and three loops (D, anti-codon, and T loops). Lineage: Eukaryota; Metazoa; Chordata; Mammalia; Rodentia; Bathyergidae. The record is from Rfam by way of RNAcentral.